CACCCGUCGGCCACCGUAUAACAAUGGUUACAGUCGAGCCUCGAGACUAGAGCCUGCUACCGUCCGGGCUAAUGGACAUACACUUUUUUACGAGAAUUGGCUCACAGACACAUUCAGUGGUCCCUGCAAAUGACCAACAGAUGGUGCUGAUUAAAGUAGAGCCUUCAGAAGAAUGGAUACCUGGUGUGGACCAGCCAGAUC
This is a long non-coding RNA of Austrofundulus limnaeus, 201 nucleotides long. RefSeq lists it as uncharacterized. The transcript has 3 exons. The record is from RefSeq and is a predicted model, not a curated record. NCBI's taxonomy places the organism in Eukaryota, Metazoa, Chordata, Actinopteri, Cyprinodontiformes, Rivulidae.